Chelonia mydas (Green sea turtle) is the source of this 726-nucleotide long non-coding RNA. RefSeq lists it as uncharacterized. The record is from RefSeq and is a predicted model, not a curated record. The transcript has 3 exons. Lineage: Eukaryota; Metazoa; Chordata; Testudines; Cheloniidae.
GUUGGCUCUACCAGAGUUAAGGGGCCAGCUGCUGAAAGGCAUGCUGGGGGAAUAAAAUUAUCUGAGGAAACAGUAGUACCCAUACAGCAGAGAGAGUUGGUAGCUUUCAAGGGGAAGGUGUUGCUGUUGUUUGUGAUAACUCAGUGCUUACGGCCCACAGCUGCAGGAGCAACAGGGACACUGGCAGCUUUCUUCUGGUGGAUUGCUUUGAAGUUCUUGGUCUCUACCCUCUCUUCUUGUUUGGACAUAGGAGCAGGAGGCUGAAGAGCAGGCUCUGGCUUCCCUGUGGACUGAAAUCUAAAUGACUAACGUUUUUGGAUGCCCAACUUGACACCUCGGAGAGACUUAAAUCUUGCGCUCCCAAAAUCACUAGCCAGUCCUGAAAAUUUAGGCUUCUGUGCAGAUACAGGCAAGAGGCCUGGCUUCACCAUUCCCUUUCCAUGAAGGAUCUCUGCCUCUAACAGUUGUUUUUCUGGGAGCCUCAUCCUUUGAGUCAUCUCAGGAAAUUGCAAUGGUCAGAGUAAACGGCUGAACUAGAGGGAAAUUCUUCCUCUGAUCCAUAUAUGCAGAUUAAAUGUACAUUUGCAACAAACCAGUUCAAUGGGCAUUAUGCACAAUAUGAUCUGCAAUGUGGUUCGAUAACUAGUAUUUUACCCUGGGAAAGCAAGUAUAUUAUUGAUUUAAUCAUUUCUUCUUAGGAAUAAAAAACUUUUAAAGCUGUUUGUC